GCCGAGGUAGCUCAGUUGGUAGAGCAGCGGACUGAAAAUCCGCGUGUCGCCGGUUCGAUUCCGGCCUUCGGCA
This 73-nucleotide transfer RNA is filed under the name Chloroflexota bacterium. Its description in RNAcentral is "Chloroflexi bacterium (hydrothermal vent metagenome) tRNA-Phe". It matches the Rfam family "tRNA". From Rfam's summary of the family: Transfer RNA (tRNA) molecules are approximately 80 nucleotides in length. Their secondary structure includes four short double-helical elements and three loops (D, anti-codon, and T loops). Further hydrogen bonds mediate the characteristic L-shaped molecular structure. tRNAs have two regions of fundamental functional importance: the anti-codon, which is responsible for specific mRNA codon recognition, and the 3' end, to which the tRNAs corresponding amino acid is attached (by aminoacyl-tRNA synthetases). tRNAs cope with the degeneracy of the genetic code in two manners: having more than one tRNA (with a specific anti-codon) for a particular amino acid; and 'wobble' base-pairing, i.e. permitting non-standard base-pairing at the 3rd anti-codon position. The record is from RNAcentral. Lineage: Bacteria; Bacillati; Chloroflexota.